RNAcentral lists this transfer RNA (74 nucleotides) under Pseudomonadota bacterium. RNAcentral describes it as "tRNA-Leu". It matches the Rfam family "tRNA". From Rfam's summary of the family: Transfer RNA (tRNA) molecules are approximately 80 nucleotides in length. Their secondary structure includes four short double-helical elements and three loops (D, anti-codon, and T loops). Further hydrogen bonds mediate the characteristic L-shaped molecular structure. tRNAs have two regions of fundamental functional importance: the anti-codon, which is responsible for specific mRNA codon recognition, and the 3' end, to which the tRNAs corresponding amino acid is attached (by aminoacyl-tRNA synthetases). tRNAs cope with the degeneracy of the genetic code in two manners: having more than one tRNA (with a specific anti-codon) for a particular amino acid; and 'wobble' base-pairing, i.e. permitting non-standard base-pairing at the 3rd anti-codon position. The record is from RNAcentral. Lineage: Bacteria; Pseudomonadati; Pseudomonadota.
CUGCGCGUAGCUCAAUUUGGUAGAGCUGCCGGUUAAGGUCCGGACGGUAGGGGGUUCGAUUCCCCCCGCGCCGG